UCGCACUGUCUUUGAACCUGGUGGGUCUUGCUCGUGACCUCCUUGGCCAAGCUACAGUGCAACAGCAAAUCCAAACUUGUUCAUAACUGGGGCCUCCUGGCAACAUCCCCAGGUCGCCUUUUUAAAAGCAAGCUACAUUC
Gambusia affinis (western mosquitofish) is the source of this 140-nucleotide small nucleolar RNA. The record is from Ensembl. NCBI's taxonomy places the organism in Eukaryota, Metazoa, Chordata, Actinopteri, Cyprinodontiformes, Poeciliidae.